AAUCAACGCUGGCGGCGCGCUUAACACAUGCAAGUCGAACGAGAAACCUCUCUUCGGAGAGGGAUUUAGUGGCGAACGGGUGAGUAACACGUGGGUUACCUGCCCUCGAGUGGGGAAUAACUCUGGGAAACUGGAGCUAAUACCGCAUAUAACCUCCGGGUGAAAGGCUUCGGCCGCUCGAGGAUGGGCCCGCGGUCGAUUAGCUAGUUGGUGGGGUAAUGGCCUACCAAGGCACCGAUCGAUAGCCGGCCUGAGAGGGCACACGGCCACACUGGCACUGAGACACGGGCCAGACUCCUACGGGAGGCAGCAGUGGGGAAUCUUGGACAAUGGGGGAAACCCUGAUCCAGCGACGCCGCGUGACCGAUGAAGGCCCUAGGGUCGUAAAGGUCUUUCAGUGGGGACAAUAAUGAUGU
This 416-nucleotide ribosomal RNA is filed under the name uncultured bacterium. Its description in RNAcentral is "bacterial SSU rRNA". It matches the Rfam family "Bacterial small subunit ribosomal RNA", at positions 32 to 457 of the family's 1533-position model. The record is from RNAcentral.